Molecule: transfer RNA, 57 nt
Filed under: Schistocephalus solidus
Lineage: Eukaryota; Metazoa; Platyhelminthes; Cestoda; Diphyllobothriidea; Diphyllobothriidae
Rfam family: tRNA
About the family: Transfer RNA (tRNA) molecules are approximately 80 nucleotides in length. Their secondary structure includes four short double-helical elements and three loops (D, anti-codon, and T loops). Further hydrogen bonds mediate the characteristic L-shaped molecular structure. tRNAs have two regions of fundamental functional importance: the anti-codon, which is responsible for specific mRNA codon recognition, and the 3' end, to which the tRNAs corresponding amino acid is attached (by aminoacyl-tRNA synthetases). tRNAs cope with the degeneracy of the genetic code in two manners: having more than one tRNA (with a specific anti-codon) for a particular amino acid; and 'wobble' base-pairing, i.e. permitting non-standard base-pairing at the 3rd anti-codon position.
Source: Rfam by way of RNAcentral
UGGCUCAAUGGUAGAGCGUUGGACUGAAAUACCAAAAGUCGCGGGUUCGAAUCCCAG